RNAcentral lists this transfer RNA (80 nucleotides) under Exophiala xenobiotica. It matches the Rfam family "tRNA". Rfam says of the family: Transfer RNA (tRNA) molecules are approximately 80 nucleotides in length. The record is from Rfam by way of RNAcentral. Lineage: Eukaryota; Fungi; Ascomycota; Eurotiomycetes; Chaetothyriales; Herpotrichiellaceae.
GGUUGUAUAGUGUAGUGGUUAUCACUCCGGAUUUUGAUACAUGUAUUCCGGCAACCCCGGUUCGAACCCGGGUACGACCU